RNAcentral lists this ribosomal RNA (492 nucleotides) under uncultured bacterium. Its description in RNAcentral is "partial 16S ribosomal RNA". It matches the Rfam family "Bacterial small subunit ribosomal RNA", at positions 29 to 507 of the family's 1533-position model. The record is from RNAcentral.
AGUGAACGCUGGCGGUAGGCCUAACACAUGCAAGUCGAACGGCAGCACAGUAAGAGCUUGCUCUUACGGGUGGCGAGUGGCGGACGGGUGAGGAAUACAUCGGAAUCUACUUUUUCGUGGGGGACAACGUAGGGAAACUUACGCUAACACCGCAUACGACCUACGGGUGAAAGCAGUGGAUCUUCGGACCUUGCGCGAUUGAAUGAGCCGAUGUCGGAUUAGCUAGUUGGCGGGGUAAAGGCCCACCAAGGCGACGAUCCGUAGCUGGUCUGAGAGGAUGAUCAGCCACACUGGAACUGAGACACGGUCCAGACUCCUACGGGAGGCAGCAGUAGGGAAUAUUGGACAAUGGGCGCAAGCCUGAUCCAGCCAUGCCGCGUGGGUGAAGAAGGCCUUCGGGUUGUAAAGCCCUUUUAUUGGGGAAGAAAAGCAGCAGGUUAAUACCCCGCUGUUCUGACGGUACCCAAAGAAUAAGCACCGGCUAACUUCGUG